Macaca mulatta (Rhesus monkey) is the source of this 117-nucleotide unclassified non-coding RNA. It matches the Rfam family "Metazoan signal recognition particle RNA". Rfam says of the family: The signal recognition particle (SRP) is a universally conserved ribonucleoprotein. It is involved in the co-translational targeting of proteins to membranes. The record is from Ensembl. NCBI's taxonomy places the organism in Eukaryota, Metazoa, Chordata, Mammalia, Primates, Cercopithecidae.
GCCGGGCGUGGUGGCUCACGCCUGUAAUCCCAGCACCUUGGGAGGCUGAGGUGGGUGGAUCACCUGAGGUUUGGAGUUCAAGACCAGCCUGGCCAACAUGGUGAAACCCCAUUUCUA